RNAcentral lists this ribosomal RNA (359 nucleotides) under Belonoperca chabanaudi. Its description in RNAcentral is "partial 12S ribosomal RNA". It matches the Rfam family "Bacterial small subunit ribosomal RNA", at positions 1022 to 1533 of the family's 1533-position model. Lineage: Eukaryota; Metazoa; Chordata; Actinopteri; Perciformes; Serranidae. The record is from RNAcentral.
UUUUCUUGUUAAUCAGCCUAUAUACCGCCGUCGUCAGCCUACCCUGUGAAGGCCCAGCAGUGAGCUUAAUUGGCACAGCCCAAAACGUCAGGUCGAGGUGUAGCUAACGAAAAGGGAAGAAAUGGGCUACAUUCACUACUUAGCAGUGAAUACGAAGAGUGUGCUGAAAUGCACACUUAAAGGAGGAUUUAGCAGUAAGUAGAAACUAGAGUGUUCUACUGAAACCGGCUCUGAAGCGCGCACACACCGCCCGUCACUCUCCCCGGGCAUGAUAAUUAAAAAUAUAUAAAAAACCAUAACCGCACAAGGGGAGGCAAGUCGUAACAUGGUAAGUGUACCGGAAGGUGCACUUGGAAAAA